RNAcentral lists this transfer RNA (66 nucleotides) under chicken gut metagenome. It matches the Rfam family "tRNA". From Rfam's summary of the family: Transfer RNA (tRNA) molecules are approximately 80 nucleotides in length. Their secondary structure includes four short double-helical elements and three loops (D, anti-codon, and T loops). The record is from RNAcentral.
AAAGUAGCUCAGUGGUAGAGCAGCUCACUCGUAAUGAGCAGGUCGCGGGUUCAAUUCCCAUCUUUG